AGAGUUUGAUCAUGGCUCAGAAUGAACGCUGGCGGCGUGCUUAACACAUGCAAGUCGAGCGGGGCGGAGGGGGCAACUCCUCUAGCCGAGCGGCGGACGGGUGAGUAACACGUGGGUAACCUGCCCGGAAGUGGGGAAUACCUCGGGGAAACUCGAGCUAAUGCCGCAUAAAAUCUCCGGGACGAAAGUCCUGGCGAUCAAAGCGGGGUCGCAAGAUCUCGCGCUACCGGAUGGGCCCGCGCCCGAUUAGCUAGUUGGUGAGGUAAUGGCUCACCAAGGCAACGAUCGGUAGCCGGCCUGAGAGGGUGAUCGGCCACACCGGAACUGAGACACGGUCCGGACUCCUACGGGAGGCAGCAGUGGGGAAUCUUGCGCAAUGGGCGAAAGCCUGGCGCAGCAACGCCGCGUGGAGGAUGAAGGCCCUUGGGUUGUAAACUCCUGUCGGCUGGGAAGAACUCGUACGAUGCUCAUACCAUCGUGCGUUGACUGUACCAGCAAAGGAAGCCCCGGCUAACUCUGUGCCAGCAGCCGCGGUAAUACAGAGGGGGCUAGCGUUAUUCGGAAUUAUUGGGCGUAAAGGGCGCGUAGGCGGCCUUGCGUGUCUUUCGUGAAAUCCCUCGGCUUAACUGAGGACGUGCGGAAGAAACUGCAGGGCUUGAGUCCGGGAGAGGGGGGUGGAAUUCCCAGUGUAGCGGUGAAAUGCGUAGAUAUUGGGAGGAGCACCGGUGGCGAAGGCGGCCCCCUGGACCGGUACUGACGCUGAGGCGCGAAAGCGUGGGGAGCAAACGGGAUUAGAUACCCUAGUAGUCC
RNAcentral lists this ribosomal RNA (810 nucleotides) under uncultured bacterium. RNAcentral's name for it is "bacterial SSU rRNA". It matches the Rfam family "Bacterial small subunit ribosomal RNA", at positions 8 to 796 of the family's 1533-position model. The record is from RNAcentral.